ACUUGAUCAAGUCAUGGGAUUCUUUCUGUGACACACAUUCAUGAGAUUUUUGGCACCAGUCUUUGUGCUUGAGGAUGAUGCUGCUGAGAUAUGGAAGUGUGUGACUUUGCAGGACUCUGAGAUUACUGAUGAAAGGAACCCUGGUGUCUGUUAUAGAGGCAGUAAUAAAAUACGUUUAUUAAGAAAUCUCUGCUUUGUGCUACUCCCACUGUGCGUGGCCUGUUUUUACACUUCCCUACUGUCUCUCAGUGUUUGA
This 256-nucleotide long non-coding RNA is filed under the name Papio anubis (olive baboon). RNAcentral's name for it is "lncRNA (ENSPANG00000051049.1)". The record is from RNAcentral. Lineage: Eukaryota; Metazoa; Chordata; Mammalia; Primates; Cercopithecidae.